GCUUAACGUUGCGCGUGCAGUGGGUACGGGCUGACUAGAGUGCAGUAGGGGAGUCUGGAAUUCCUGGUGUAGCGGUGAAAUGCGCAGAUAUCAGGAGGAACACCGGUGGCGAAGGCGGGACUCUGGGCUGUAACUGACACUGAGGAGCGAAAGCAUGGGGAGCGAACAGGAUUAGAUACCCUGGUAGUCCAUGCCGUAAACGUUGGGCACUAGGUGUGGGGGACAUUCCACGUUCUCCGCGCCGUAGCUAACGCAUUAAGUGCCCCGCCUGGGAGUACGGUCGCAAGGCUAAAACUCAAAGGAAUUGACGGGGGCCCGCACAAGCGGCGGAGCAUGCGGAUUAAUUCGAUGCAACGCGAAGAACCUUACCAAGGCUUGACAUACACUGGACCGUUCUGGAAACAGUUCUUCUCUUUGGAGCUGGUGUACAGGUGGUGCAUGGUUGUCGUCAGCUCGUGUCGUGAGAUGUUGGGUUAAGUCCCGCAACGAGCGCAACCCUCGUUCUAUGUUGCCAGCACGUGAUGGUGGGAACUCAUAGGAGACUGCCGGGGUCAACUCGGAGGAAGGUGGGGAUGACGUCAAAUCAUCAUGCCCUUUAUGUCUUGGGCUUCACGCAUGCUACAAUGGCUGGUACAGAG
RNAcentral lists this ribosomal RNA (638 nucleotides) under uncultured bacterium. RNAcentral describes it as "bacterial SSU rRNA". It matches the Rfam family "Bacterial small subunit ribosomal RNA", at positions 607 to 1244 of the family's 1533-position model. The record is from RNAcentral.